Molecule: unclassified non-coding RNA, 255 nt
Filed under: Ascomycota sp.
Lineage: Eukaryota; Fungi; Ascomycota
Description: partial contains small subunit ribosomal RNA, internal transcribed spacer 1, and 5.8S ribosomal RNA
Rfam family: Eukaryotic small subunit ribosomal RNA (bases 1-47)
Source: RNAcentral
AAAGUCGUAACAAGGUUUCCGUAGGUGAACCUGCGGAAGGAUCAUUACCGAGUUCAUGCCCUUCGGGGUAGAUCUCCCACCCUUUGUUUACUAUACGAUGUUGCUUUGGCGGACCGCCUGAUCGCCCUCCGGGGCCCUCAGCUACCGGCUUCGGCUGGUACGCGUCCGCCAGAGAACCCAAAACCCUGAAUAUUAGUGUCGUCUGAGUAGAAAGUUUAAUAUUUAAAACUUUCAACAACGGAUCUCUUGGCUCUG